CUUUGACAGGCCCGCCACAAACUACGAAAAAACAACACAGACUGACACUGUCACUCAUCUUCUUCCAGUUCGCCCUCCUCCUUUUCAAACUUUAUGGUCAAUGGACCACCAUUUCAUCCUCCCCUACCCACCUGAACUCUCUCUCUCCUCUCUCUCCCUCUCCUCUCUCUCAUCCACUCAACUGUCCAAUAAUUCCCCACCUUAAGAAGUUGUUCUCUCUGAGCUCUGCUUUUUUGCACUCCAAUCCAACCCACCAACACAAUACAAAAAACCCAACAUUUUAGAGCUUCAAAGAUUCAAACUUUACCCUCUCUUUCAGUUCUCUCUCUAAAAAGAUGGCUUUAGUCCUCUACUCAGACCCAAGCUCCGAACCCCCCUCAGCAAACCCUGCUUGGCAAGACAUGUUCCGAUCAGCCUCAAUCCGUAAAUCCUCAACCCCAGAGCCCCAGGCGCCCAAACCCCAGGCGCCGCCGCCCAAGGACCCGCCAAAAUCUGCCGACCCAGCACAGAAAACCCCCAUCUCCGACGAUCCCCAGGUAAGGUUAGCCCUCUACAUAACCAUGGCCCAGGCAGGCCUGGCCUUUACAAUUUUCAUAUUUUACGCCGUGGGUAAGCUGCUAGAGGAAUACUUGCGGCCAAUUCAGUGGGCGGUGCUCUGCUCGAUCCCUCUGAGAGGAAUACAGCAAACCCUUGUGGGGUUUUGGUCGGAGCCCUUGAGGCUUGGCCUCACUGAAACUGUUCUGGCUGUUCCCGUGGCCAUAUUUGGGGUUUUCGUAGGUACCAUUGUCGAAAUUAGGGAGGUUUGCUUUCGGGUUUUUCUCCGAAAGCCGAAAUCUGACUACAGGAGGAGGCACCGGAGUGAGUUCUCUAAGUUGUUGAGGUGGUUGGUGUCGUUUUGGAUACUUAUACUUGCUUAUGAAAAAUUUGGUGGUGUUGCCUCUCUGGCAAUUCUUGGACUAGGUUUUAUGUUUAGUGCCAAAGUCGUGGAGUCGACAAUGUCAACUGUUUCCUCUUUGAGAUGCAGUAGCUUUCGCCGCAGCCCGAUAGUGCGUUCUUCACAAGAAGGAUAUUGAUAAGGUUGGAGACCAUCGUUGCAAUUGGGUUGAUGUUUGCUAUGAUUUUAGGGUUUUUCGUUGGUGUCAUGUUUUUUUCGUAUAAGAUUGGGAUCGAGAGCAAAGAUGCAGUGAUUUCGUUGAAGUUACAUGUGGAAGAGAGCAAUUACACAGAGAAGAUUGGCGUUAAGCAUUGGAUGGAGGAGAAUGAUGUGGCUGGAAUGGUGGAUAGGUACACUUUGAAGUUUUAUGAAACUGUGUCGGACCAGCUAGAUGGUUUGGCGUUGCAGUAUAAUAUGACAGAAUUGGCAACUGGAAUUAAGCAUUUUGUAGUAAGACAGUCGGCUAAUUCUUCCAAGCCUUCAAUAGCUUUAGCUAGCCCGUCUCAGUACACAGAGAAACUUGUGAGUUUGAGGGAUCGGGUUAGUAAGAGGGAAUGGGGACUUAUGUACACAGAGGUUGAUGCAAUUGUUAGGGAAUUGGUAAUCACCAGAGAGGAUUUAGUCGAGAAGGCAAAAGGGUUUGCCAUGCGAGGUAUGGAUGUAUCACAGCGCAUACUUGCUAGCAGUACAUCAGUCCUUGGAGGCAGCGCAAAACUCAUGUUCUCUAUCGGUAGUUCCAUUGUUUCUGGAGCAGCUGAGGUUUUCAAUUUUGUGUCUCAGUUAAUGGUGUUCAUCUGGGUAUUGUAUUAUCUGAUCACAUCCGAAUCUGGCGGAGUGACUGAACAAGCAAUGAGUAUGCUUCCAAUUUCAAAGUCCGCGAGGGUUAGAUGUGUUGAAGUUCUUGAUAAUGCUAUAUCCGGUGUUCUUUUGGCUACAGCCGAGAUUGCAAUUUUUCAGGGAUGUCUCACAUGGCUUUUAUUGACGCUGUUCAAAAUACAUUUCCUGUACACGUCCACCAUUCUUGCAAUCCUCAGUUCUGUGCUACCAAUCUUUCCAUCGUGGUUUGCAACUAUCCCUGCAGCUCUUCAACUGGUGCUGGAAGGUAGAUAUAUAGUAGCCAUCACCUUGUCCGUUAUUCAUCUCGUGCUUAUGGAUUACGGAGCGUCUGGAAUUCAGGACGACAUACCUGGCCAUAGUCAAUAUCUUACCGGACUCAGCAUCAUCGGUGGAAUGACUUUGUUCCCAUCCGCAUUCGAGGGUGCAAUUAUGGGUCCGCUCAUAACAACGGUUGUGAUUGCGAUUAAGGAUUUGUAUGUGGAAUUUGUUCUGGACGAACCCAAGGAUAAAGCCGAGUAGAAAGCAUGUUUGCCCGUCUUUCCGCAGUUUCUAUUUAUUUGUUGGCAGCUUACUCCGAAGUGUGCAAGCACAUUAUUCAUUGUAUCUUAAUAUAUGCCAUCCGAGGCAGGCUGUUGUGAGUUAAUUUUUUUUUUUUCCUGUAUAUUUAUGAGUUCAUUUGUAUUUCUCUGUCAGAUUGGUUUCUGUAUAUGUAUCCUAUCAAUUGCUGACAAUGGAAUGAAAUUUUGUAGAUUUUA
This is an RNA transcript of Pyrus x bretschneideri (Chinese white pear), 2526 nucleotides long. It is a transcript of the gene named transmembrane protein 245, with no coding region annotated. The record is from RefSeq and is a predicted model, not a curated record. NCBI's taxonomy places the organism in Eukaryota, Viridiplantae, Streptophyta, Magnoliopsida, Rosales, Rosaceae. The transcript has 2 exons.